RNAcentral lists this ribosomal RNA (253 nucleotides) under uncultured bacterium. RNAcentral describes it as "partial 16S ribosomal RNA". It matches the Rfam family "Bacterial small subunit ribosomal RNA", at positions 524 to 776 of the family's 1533-position model. The record is from RNAcentral.
UACAGAGGUCCCAAGCGUUGUUCGGAAUUACUGGGCGUAAAGCGCACGUAGGCGGCUUUGUAAGUUAGAGGUGAAAGCCUGGAGCUCAACUCCAGAAUUGCCUUUAAGACUGCAUCGCUUGAAUCAUGGAGAGGCGGGUGGAAUUCCGAGUGUAGAGGUGAAAUUCGUAGAUAUUCGGAAGAACACCAGUGGCGAAGGCGGCCCGCUGGACAUGUAUUGACGCUGAGGUGCGAAAGCGUGGGGAGCAAACAGG